AAUCAACGCUGGCGGCGUGCCUAACACAUGCAAGUCGAACGAGAAAGUGUAGCAAUACAUGAGUACAGUGGCGACCGGGUGAGUAACACGUGACUAACCUACCUUUAUGUGGGGAAUAACCUUCAGAAAGGACGGCUAAUCCCGCAUAACAUGGAGAGGCGAGAUUCCUCGCGAUCAAAGGAGCAAUUCGCAGGAAGAGGGGGUAACGGCCAAGUAGAUAGUUGGUGAGGUAACGGCUCAGCAAGGCAGUGAUCAGUAACCGGCCUCAAAGGGCGCACGGACACACUGGAAAUGAAACACGGUCCAGACUCCUACGGGAGGCAGCAGUGGGGAAUUGUGCGCAAUGGGGGAAACCCUGACGCAGCAACGCCGCGUGGAGGAUGAAGGUCUUUGGAUUGUAAACUCCUUUCGAUCGGGACGAUGAUGACGGUACCGGAAGAAGAAGCACCGGCUAACUCUGUGCCAGCAGCCGCGGUAA
Molecule: ribosomal RNA, 478 nt
Filed under: uncultured bacterium
Lineage: Bacteria
Description: partial 16S ribosomal RNA
Rfam family: Bacterial small subunit ribosomal RNA
Source: RNAcentral